Long non-coding RNA from Thalassophryne amazonica, 128 nucleotides. RefSeq lists it as uncharacterized. The transcript is spliced from 4 exons. Lineage: Eukaryota; Metazoa; Chordata; Actinopteri; Batrachoidiformes; Batrachoididae. The record is from RefSeq and is a predicted model, not a curated record.
GGACCUCCUGAAGCACAACCUCAAGAGCUGCUCCAUCAAUUGGAAGACCUGGGAAGAACAAGCGAGGGACUGAGCCAACUGGCGAGCAAUGAUCCACAAGGGAGCAGAAAAGGAAGAAGAGAGAGACC